Molecule: long non-coding RNA, 1235 nt
Organism: Hemicordylus capensis (graceful crag lizard)
Lineage: Eukaryota; Metazoa; Chordata; Lepidosauria; Squamata; Cordylidae
Exons: 5
Source: RefSeq, a predicted model, not a curated record
CGGCGAGAGCGAGCGAGAGCAUUGUGGGGGUGCGAUGCCACAGGCUCAGUGCAAGACCACACAGAUGCUCUGUGCAGGGUCAGCUAGUAAAAUGUAAAAUGAAUCAAUAGUAUGACAUAUGUGUCUGUGCAAUUAUUCCCCUUAGGGGAUGGGGCUGCUAUAGGAAGAAGAGUUUGAGCUCCCUGCCUGGCAUCUCCAGGUCGGGCUGAGUGGGAAUCCUGCCUGAGAGCCUCGGGAAGCCACUGCCAGUCUGUGUAGACAGUACUAAGCUGGAUGGACCAAUGGUCUGACUCAGUGGAAGGCAGCUUCCUAUGUUCAUAUUUUCCCUUGGGCUCAUUUGCAAGGUGCCUGCCACUUUAAGGAAAUUUGAGUGAGUGCUCAGAGCUGUUGCUGGACGGGCUUUCGCCAAGUGUUCUGCUUGCUUUGCAGCCCACUCUGGUACGCAGGCUCUAUGGUAGCUCUGUAUAAACAGACCUUCCACAGCGUUCCGUGGCUUCACACGAGUACUGGAAGGGGAGGCAUACAGAGGGGCCAUCCAUUGGGAUGCCAGCAGGGCAGCAAGAUGUCCCUCACCAUGGGAGGAGAGCUGGUCUUGUGUAGAACUGAGGCCAGUAUACAUUCCACCCCCUGCCAUUUUAUCCUGACAACUUUGUGACAUCCCCCCGCCCCGGCCACCAUUUUAUCUUCACAACAACUUCUGUAAGUGCUCCAUAUAGAUGUCCAAGUAUAUGAUCUGUCAUCUACCCCUGCUACCACCAUCAUUUAAAGUACACAUAGCACCAGUCGUAUCCCAGGUGUUGUACAGAAUGAAGAGGGGACAUUGAUUCAGAUACUAGUGGAGAGACAGGAAACAAUGAACCGUGGAAACAAUGAACCAUGGAGAAAAUCAGGCUUUACAUUCAAAAUCAUCCAGCAUUUAAUACUCAGUACAAGCCUGUUAGUGGCAUUGCAUCUGCAGGAAAGUAUAGCUCUUCACCCUGCUCAGCUAUGGGGAUAUUGCGUGGACAUGAACUGAAGUGAUCUUCUUGGGUUUAGACAGAGGAAAAUCUCUUAGCUCCCAGUUGGGGAUAUAAAUGGAGCACUUUACUGAACAGCAAUAAUAACUGGAAGGCUAAAGCAAUUUCCACCCGAGGGUGGUAAAUCAUUCACAUCUCCAGCCUCCCCCCGCCCCCCGCCAACACUCCCCCCUCCAAAAUGCAGUGAAACCUUACCCAUUAAAAUGUAAUUUUAUCUCA